CCACGCUCAUAUUUUUCUAUCAUUUCCAUCUAAAUUUCAAUGGUCUCCAUCGGGAUUUGAACCCGCGUUUCCAGUGCAACAGAAGAGCACGCAGACCAGAGGACUAUUCUUCUGCGUGACAUUAAGAUUCCUAUGAAACAUCUAGAUUCCUAAGGUCGUCUGGAACCGGUCUCCUGUAUGUUCCAAGAACAAGAACCAAGCAGGGUGAGGCAGCAUUUGGUUAUUAUGCUCCUCACCUCUGGAACAAGUUACCUGAAGGUCCGAAGUAUGCUAAAACUGUUAGCUCCUUUAAAUCAGGGCUAAAACACUCUUGUUUAGCACAGCAUAUCCAUAACAGUCUAUAUACUAGUAUUUCAAGCUAUUUGCUUUCUAUUCCUGUUGUGCUUUUUAUCUCCAUUGCUGAUUUCAAUUAGUAGUGGUAGUAGUUUUUUUUAUUCUAUUUGUGAUUAAAUGCGAUUUUUAUGUAUUAUUUUAUUUCCUGUUUUGAUUGUCUUUGUUUUUACUUUCUCUUAAUUUACUGUGGUUUUUAUGAUCUUCAUGUGAUGUAAAGCACUUUGAAUUGCCUUGUGUUGAAUUGUGCUGUAUAAAUAAAUUUGCCUUGCCUUGCCUUGCCGAUUAAAAAAAAACAAAAAAAAACGGGAAAACAGCGGUGAGAUGCAGACAAACGUAAAAAACAAGGCAAUGAUGCAACUAGCAAUGAGGGGAUAUACAAACUGUCAAAUGGCAGCAGGUCAAUAUCUCGGCUAGCUGCCGGGGAUCGGUUUAAAGACACUGCUGAUGAGCUUGAAUUGGAUGCAGGUGCGACAUUGGGAACUCAUCCUUUAUCUCUGUAACAAAACAAUCUAACCAGUAGCAGAAUGUGACAAAAUCAUGCCAGUCCUCAUACUAGCUUUGCUAGCUAGCACAGCUAUUCUAGCAGUCCAUCCUAACCACGUCAUCACCCCCAGCGUGUAUUGUGCAUGUAAAAAAUGACACUAAAUAUAAUAAAUUUUUUAAUCAAUGGCAAUAAUCUAUGUGUUUCUAAUAUUUUAGUAAAAGAGAACAAUUGUGGCUUAUUAGAACCUACAAGUCUUUAAGUCCGAAGUUCCCUUUAAAUGAUUAAAAACAGAAAACAUUAAAAGAUUUUUAUAUAUAUACUGUAUGUAUAUAUAUAUAUAUAUAU
This is a long non-coding RNA of Corythoichthys intestinalis (scribbled pipefish), 1162 nucleotides long. RefSeq lists it as uncharacterized. The record is from RefSeq and is a predicted model, not a curated record. Lineage: Eukaryota; Metazoa; Chordata; Actinopteri; Syngnathiformes; Syngnathidae. The transcript has 3 exons.